GAUGAACGCUAGCGGCAGGCCUAACACAUGCAAGUCGAGGGGUAGAAGUUGCUUGCAACUUUGAGACCGGCGCACGGGUGCGUAACGCGUAUGCAAUCUGCCUUGUACUGAGGGAUAGCCCAGAGAAAUUUGGAUUAAUACCUCAUAGCAUUAUGAUGUGGCAUCACAUUAUAAUUAAAGUUCCAACGGUACAAGAUGAGCAUGCGUCCCUUUAGUUAGUUGGUAAGGUAACGGCUUACCAAGACGAUGAUGGGUAGGGGUCCUGAGAGGGAGAUCCCCCACACUGGUACUGAGACACGGACCAGACUCCUACGGGAGGCAGCAGUGAGGAAUAUUGGUCAAUGGGCGCAAGCCUGAACCAGCCAUGCCGCGUGCAGGAUGACGCAUCUAUGGUGUGUAAACUGCUUUUGUACAGGAAGAAACACUCCCUCGUGAGGGAGCUUGACGGUACUGUAAGAAUAAGGAUCGGCUAACUCCGUGCCAGCAGCCGCAGUAA
RNAcentral lists this ribosomal RNA (496 nucleotides) under uncultured bacterium. RNAcentral's name for it is "partial 16S ribosomal RNA". It matches the Rfam family "Bacterial small subunit ribosomal RNA", at positions 28 to 523 of the family's 1533-position model. The record is from RNAcentral.